GCAGCUGUGGGGCAUUCUUGAGCGGUGUGGAUCGGGUUACCCACGCGUGCCGAUUUGGCGCCCACUUUGUUUGAGCUGGAGAAGAGAUUGAGAGCCUGGGCGCGGAGGUCAAACAAACCCAGCUUCCAGUGCCUACUCAGCAUCACUCCCGAGCCGGGUGAUCCAUUCCAGCCCGGGCUACUUAAUCUCCGUGCGUCUCAGUUUCCGCGUCUGUAAAGUGGGGGUAAUGAGUACCCUCAUUUGUUGCGGUGGAAGUAGGGGUUAAACGACACUAUAAAUCAACUGGCACAGUGACUGCCACGUACUAAACGCUGGAAUAAUGUUUUCCUGUUAAAGAGACUCAAUUGCAGAGCAAGGUCUCUCAUCUCUUUCCUUUUCUGCAAUUUUCUAUUCUCCCAGCUCCUCUUCUAUUUUAAAAAGCAGGAGAGAUUGCUUUUUUUCAGCUUCAAACAGGACUUGGUUGACUUGACCUUAGACUUCAGUAUACUUAUCUAAUCUAAUCGCUUACAGUUCCUUUUUUUUUUUUUUUUUGCCUGGGUGUGGAGGAGGAAUCCUUGGCCAGGUGGGGAGCCUGGUGAACCAAUGGCCGCUGUGCAAAGUAGGUGAAACCCGAUGGAGGGAGGUUUGAACAAAGAGGUACCUGGAGGCAAGCAGGGAACACUUCCUGGUAGAAGUGAAAUCUGAGCCGUGUCUUGUAGCAGAAGCUGGGUCAAUCGCUGGUUUCUAGAAUAUGCUGUCUUGUACCCCACCAUCAAGAGCUUCAGCCAGGGAGGUUGUCUUGGAGUGGUAAACACCCGAGUUGCUAGGUAAUUAUCUUUGAAUAGAAGAGAAAUAUACCUACGGAGGGGGCUGCUGACUAACUAGGGAAGGGAGAAGAGGCGAAUUGAUUUCAUUGAAUAUCUUCAAAAUGCUGUCAGUGUGUUUUGACUUUGCUUUUUCUCUGCUCCACUGGCUCAGCAUUGCUCAUUUCCUUCAGGCGAAGGGAGAAGCCAGUUUCAUACCGGAAAAACGAAAACAAGCAAAGCCCCUCAAUAACCCAUAAUCAGAUGAAUACAUGGUUUGAAAAAGACAGUCUCAGGCUUGGCUCCGGAAUAAGAUACGGAGAAAAAUGCUUCCUGUUUCAACACCCUUUUUUGCCUGUUGGGGCAAAUUAUUGAGCUGGGUCCAUAACGCAUCCUUUGAAUAUAGACCAAGGGGCCUUUAAUGGCCAAAACAAACAAACAAGCAAACAAAACACCAAAAACUAAUCAAGAGAAUGGUCUGUGUAGUGGGGGCAGAAGCCCACAGGGAAUGUUCCCCAAACCCUUGGCUCCCCAGGGCCUGUCGGGUCACCCCAAGCGGAAGCUGCCUCUUACAGGCUCUGGGGCCAGGAGCACUACUGUUCCAUGCCAGUGAAUAAAUAAGAUAACCUAUUUCAGGCUCCACUCCUAGAAGUGAUUCCGAGCCUUCCCACACUUGUUCUGGGAAUUCUCUGGCCCUUAGGGACGCUUGAAGGCCGCUUUGCCCCCUGCUGCAGUCUGGGGAUCAAAUCCCUGGGGGGGGGGGGCUAGACUUAAAAGGGAGCACGUGGUUGGGAAAUCUCAUUAGCUGACAAUUUAACUCCACUCUAAUGUGCCUCCAAAGAGCCUGGACAAAGACUUCCUCAACCCUCCCUCCCCCACAGUAGUCUCUCCCAGUGCCCCACCUCUCCCCUCCCCCUCCAAAACCAGAAAGGGGAUGCCUGGAUGGCCUGUGCCCACCCCCGCAGCCCCCAGCCCCCAAAUUCCUGCAGUUCUAGUGAGCAGACGUAACCCCAGGCAUUCUGGAGUGCCUGAGCUGGAAUUCCUCCCCCAGAGCUUUGCCCUGGGCCAGCUGGGUGCACGUGGUAACAACCUCCUUUGCAAAGUAACGCACCUUUCCUUUCCAAACCUCAGCAGCUUACUUACAAGUUAAGCCAGAAGGAGGAUUUUGUGAAUGAGGUGUGCAGGUCAGAGCAUGGGGAAUCACAUCCAGGCCUCACUUGGAAGUCAGUGGUGGCAGGGAGCUUCUGCCUGAGAACACAGGAGGCAGAGGCGUUCUCUCGUCCUCUGGCGCAGCGGAAACGAAUCCAACUAGGAACCAGGAGGUUGCAGGUUCGAUCCCUGGCCUCGCUUAGUGGGUUAAGGAUCUGGUGUUGCCAUGAGCUGUGGUGUAGGUCACAGAUGAGGCUCGGAUCACUGUGGCUGUGGUGUAGGC
RNAcentral lists this long non-coding RNA (2214 nucleotides) under Sus scrofa (pig). RNAcentral's name for it is "lncRNA (ENSSSCG00000058707.1)". Lineage: Eukaryota; Metazoa; Chordata; Mammalia; Artiodactyla; Suidae. The record is from RNAcentral.